This 489-nucleotide ribosomal RNA is filed under the name Triticum aestivum (bread wheat). RNAcentral describes it as "partial small subunit ribosomal RNA". Lineage: Eukaryota; Viridiplantae; Streptophyta; Magnoliopsida; Poales; Poaceae. The record is from RNAcentral.
AUGAUAUGGUUCUUCGCAGUCGAGUGGCACUUUGUAGACCGUGUGGCAAGACAAUUUGGAAGAAGACAAGGUAUUCCAAUUGAGGAGAGCAAGGAGGAAACGCUAUCUCUGCAUCGGUUCGAUCGAAGGAACAAUCAGGAUAUAUCGGAUUGGGCAAACAAACACCGUGCAUGGAUAGAAAUUUGGAAUCAAAGAGACACGUUAGUGCAAUCAGAGAAUAGACCUCACAAUCAGUCAGCAUAUCAGAAGUAUCAAGUGUGGUAUGCGGAUCGUUACCGGUUAAAGCUAAAGCCUGGUUGGACUCACGAGGAGUGGUCGGAGUUGGUGUCUGAAGACCCGGAGACUGCAGAAGGUUAUCAUACCUUCAACACAACUGUGAGAGACACCAGAGGGGCUCACGUUGACUAUGCACCGAUGCAUGACGAAAUGGUAGUCUGUUUGACCUAUUCUAACAUACUUGCAUCAUGUUGUUUUCUUUCAAAUACAUAA